UCCCUGAGUCCUGGGAUCAACCACAACCCCCUCUUCGGUAGAGCCUUUGACUCUGCAUGGGCAUGUGCCGUGGCAUUUGUCCUGAAGAUGGCUGAGGUGACACACUGAAACAGGCUACAGAAAUGUGUGAUGACGAAGUGGCUAAUGCUGGCAAGCCACGCCUGUUAGAUACGCGAACAGAGGAUUCACUGUCCCUGGAGGUAGUUUCCCAUGCUAGCUGCUGAGGCUUCUCUUCAAAGCAGCAACCUCUGAGCCUGGAACACGCUGGAAGACCCUGAGCUAGGAUUAUUAGAGAGAAAAGGAGGGCAGCCUCAUGGCAUCUGUCUGAGCCCAGAGGGUAGCGGGGGGCGGGGGCAAGGACUGGGCAGGAGACAUCAGGGCUGGAUUCCUGAUGUGGGACAAUGGCAGGCGAUGGAGGGGUCCCUCUUCAAGUCCAAGCUAGCCGGAGCGGAUACACUGUGGGACUGGCUCAGCUGUUCCUGCAGAGCUCACCCACGGUCUGGGAUGCCUCCUAACAAGUUCAUGCAAGUCAAACCCAGAUAGGGUGCUGACAAUGCCUUAGAUUACGGCCCGUGUCAGGCAUCUAGAUGGACCCCUCUCUCGUUUCACUCUGAGAGUCAAACAGGUUGGAACGACUGUGCAUUUGUAGCCCACAAAUAAGAGGAAUGGGUUAAGAUGUUUAUGGACAGGAAUGUCUUCUGAGGAUUCUUGGACACUUAAGUCAGCUAGAAGUGAAGGAGAAAGGGCUUUGCACCUGCCAGGCCAGUGGUGAGUCUUUCCCAAUCAAUCAUGCAGGUUGCAAGAUGUCAACAGAAUUGAUACCGCCCCCAAUGGAAUAGAAUUAACACUCUCAGGCUGGUGAGCUGGCUCAGGUUAAAAUGCCUGCUGCCAAGCCUGAUGAUCUGAGUUCUAGCUCCAGAAUCCACGCGGUGGAAGAGAACCGACUCUCCAGAGCUGUUGUUGGAAGUGGGUCACAUUACUCGUGCGUGGCCCUCCACCCACACACGACUGCACACACAAAACACAUUGAAAAAUGUAAAAGAAAACCACUCUCACCAGCUAGGCACUCACCUGUGUUCCCAUCUCUCAGGAGGCUGAGAGAGGAGGAGGCCGGACUGAACUACAUAGUGAGGCCCUGUCCCCCAAACACAAAGCAGACAAAGAUCUCACAUCAAAAGAUGCAAGUCCAACUUACGGUGCUGUGGAUGUUUUUCACUCAUGAAUGGACUUGUACUUAUCAAAAUUCUAGUUUCAGGAACCGUGCUGGCUAGUUUUGUGUAUCAACUUGGUAUCGGCUAAAGUCAUCAGAGAAGGAGCCUCAUUUGAGGAAGUGCCCCCAGCUGUAAGGCGUUUUCUCAGUUAAGGAUCAAUGCGGAGGGCCCAGACCAUGGCAAGUGAUGCCAUCUCUGGGCAGGUGUUCCUGGGUUCUACCAGAAGGUGGGCUGAGUUAAGCAAGCCACAAGAAGUAAGCUAGUAAGCAGCUCCCCUCCAUGGCCUCUGCAUCAGCUCCUGCCUCCAGGUUUCAGCCCUGCUUGAGUUCCUGUUCUGACCUCCUUUGAGAUGGUCUGUGAUCUGGAAAUAAACCCUUUCCUCUCCA
Non-coding RNA from Myodes glareolus (Bank vole), 1597 nucleotides. The record is from RefSeq and is a predicted model, not a curated record. Lineage: Eukaryota; Metazoa; Chordata; Mammalia; Rodentia; Cricetidae.